GAUGAACGCUGGCGGCGUGCCUAAUACAUGCAAGUCGAGCGAACAGACGAGGAGCUUGCUCCUCUGUCGUUAGCGGCGGACGGGUGAGUCACAUGUGGAUAACCUACUUCUAAGACUGGGAUAACUUCGGGACACCGGCGCUAAUACCGGAUAAUCUCUUGAACGGCAUGGUUCAAUAGUGAAAGACGGUUUUGCUGUCACUUAUAGACGGUCCGGCGCCGCAUUAGCUAGUUGGUAAGGUAACGGCUUACCAAGGCGACGAUGCGUAGCCGACCUGAGAGGGUGAGCGGCCACACUGGAGCUGAGACACGGUCCAGACUCCUACGGGAGGCAGCAGUAGGGAAUCUGCCGGAAUGGGCGAAUGCCUGACGGAGCGACGCCGCGUGAGGGAGGAAGGUCGUCGGAGCGUAAAACUCUGUUAGUAUGGAAGAACAAAUGUGUAAGUAACUAUGCACGUCGUGACGGUACCUGGUCAGAAAGCCACGGCUAACUACGUG
This 497-nucleotide ribosomal RNA is filed under the name uncultured bacterium. Its description in RNAcentral is "partial 16S ribosomal RNA". It matches the Rfam family "Bacterial small subunit ribosomal RNA", at positions 28 to 507 of the family's 1533-position model. The record is from RNAcentral.